GCUUAUGGCAGCUGUGCGUGUGGGCACCUCAGGGUGCGCCGAGGCUCCAGGGGUCCUUGGUCUGUCAACCCAUGCACAGCUGCCACCCUC
Pseudomonas putida is the source of this 90-nucleotide non-coding RNA. The record is from Rfam. Lineage: Bacteria; Pseudomonadati; Pseudomonadota; Gammaproteobacteria; Pseudomonadales; Pseudomonadaceae.